Molecule: unclassified non-coding RNA, 310 nt
Filed under: plant metagenome
Description: partial contains 5.8S ribosomal RNA, internal transcribed spacer 2, and large subunit ribosomal RNA
Rfam family: 5.8S ribosomal RNA (bases 1-105)
Source: RNAcentral
GAAAUGCGAUAAGUAAUGUGAAUUGCAGAAUUCAGUGAAUCAUCGAAUCUUUGAACGCACAUUGCGCCCGCCAGUAUUCUGGCGGGCAUGCCUGUUCGAGCGUCAUUUCAACCAUCAAGCCCCCGGGCUUGUGUUUGGGACCUGCGGCUGCCCGCAGGCCCUGAAAACCAGUGGCGGCACCAUGUCUGGUCCUCGAGCGUAUGGGGCUUUGUCACCCGCUCCCGUAGGUCCAGCUGGCAGCUAGCCUCGCAACCAAUCUUUUUAACCAGGUUGACCUCGGAUCAGGUAGGGAUACCCGCUGAACUUAAGC